AAUCUGCUGCAGGCCUAACACAUGCAAGUCGAGCGCUCACUUCGGUGGGAGCGGCGGACGGGUUAGUAACGCGUGGGAACGUGCCCAGAUCUAAGGAAUAGCCACUGGAGACGGUGAGUAAUACCUUAUACGCCCUUCGGGGGAAAGAUUUAUCGGAUUUGGAUCGGCCCGCGUUAGAUUAGAUAGUUGGUGGGGUAAUGGCCUACCAAGUCUACGAUCUAUAGCUGGUUUUAGAGGAUGAUCAGCAACACUGGGACUGAGACACGGCCCAGACUCCUACGGGAGGCAGCAGUGGGGAAUCUUGGACAAUGGGGGCAACCCUGAUCCAGCCAUGCCGCGUGAGUGAUGAAGGCCUUAGGGUCGUAAAGCUCUUUCGCCAGGGAUGAUAAUGACAGUACCUGGUAAAGAAACCCCGGCUAACUCCGUGCCAGCAGCCGCGGUAAUACGGAGGGGGUUAGCGUUGUUCGGAAUUACUGGGCGUAAAGCGCGCGUAGGCGGAUUGGAAAGUUGGGGGUGAAAUCCCGGGGCUCAACCCCGGAACUGCCUCCAAAACUAUCAGUCUAGAGUUCGAGAGAGGUGAGUGGAAUUCCGAGUGUAGAGGUGAAAUUCGUAGAUAUUCGGAGGAACACCAGUGGCGAAGGCGGCUCACUGGCUCGAUACUGACGCUGAGGUGCGAAAGUGUGGGGGAGCAAACAGGAUUAGAUACCCUGGUAGUCCACACCGUAAACGAUGAAUGCCAGUCGUCGGCAAGCAUGCUUGUCGGUGACACACCUAACGGAUUAAGCAUUCCGCCUGGGGAGUACGGUCGCAAGAUUAAAACUCAAAGGAAUUGACGGAAGGGCGAA
Molecule: ribosomal RNA, 845 nt
Filed under: uncultured bacterium
Lineage: Bacteria
Description: bacterial SSU rRNA
Rfam family: Bacterial small subunit ribosomal RNA
Source: RNAcentral